RNAcentral lists this ribosomal RNA (434 nucleotides) under uncultured Pseudobutyrivibrio sp. RNAcentral's name for it is "partial 16S ribosomal RNA". It matches the Rfam family "Bacterial small subunit ribosomal RNA", at positions 341 to 792 of the family's 1533-position model. The record is from RNAcentral. Lineage: Bacteria; Bacillati; Bacillota; Clostridia; Lachnospirales; Lachnospiraceae.
ACGGAAGGCAGCAGUGGGGAAUAUUGCACAAUGGGCGAAAGCCUGAUGCAGCGACGCCGCGUGAGCGAAGAAGUAUUUCGGUAUGUAAAGCUCUAUCAGCAGGGAAGAUAAUGACGGUACCUGACCAAGAAGCACCGGCUAAAUACGUGCCAGCAGCCGCGGUAAUACGUAUGGUGCAAGCGUUAUCCGGAUUUACUGGGUGUAAAGGGAGCGUAGGCGGUUUUACAAGUCUGAUGUGAAAGCCCGGGGCUCAACUCCGGUAUUGCAUUGGAAACUGUAGAACUAGAGUGUCGGAGGGGUAAGUGGAAUUCCUAGUGUAGCGGUGAAAUGCGUAGAUAUUAGGAGGAACACCAGUGGCGAAGGCGGCUUACUGGACGAUUACUGACGCUGAGGCUCGAAAGCGUGGGGAGCAAACAGGAUUAGAUACCCUGGUA